Molecule: ribosomal RNA, 640 nt
Filed under: uncultured bacterium
Lineage: Bacteria
Description: bacterial SSU rRNA
Rfam family: Bacterial small subunit ribosomal RNA
Source: RNAcentral
AGAGUUUGAUUAUGGCUCAAGAUGAACGCUAGCGGCAGGCUUAACACAUGCAAGUCGAAAGGCAACGGGGAGAGUGCUUGCACUCUCUGCCGGCGACUGGCGCACGGGUGAGUAACACGUAUGCAACCUGCCCUCCACAGGGGGACAACCUUCCGAAAGGGAGGCUAAUCCCGCGUAUAUCCCUUGGGGGCAUCCUUGGGGGAGGAAAGGAUUACCGGUGGAGGAUGGGCAUGCGGCGCAUUAGGCAGUAGGCGGGGUAACGGCCCACCUAACCGACGAUGCGUAGGGGUUCUGAGAGGAAGGUCCCCCACACUGGUACUGAGACACGGACCAGACUCCUACGGGAGGCAGCAGUGAGGAAUAUUGGUCAAUGGGCGGGAGCCUGAACCAGCCAAGCCGCGUGAAGGAAGAAAGCGCCAAGCGUCGUAAACUUCUUUUGUCGGGGAACAAAGGGCGCCACGUGUGGCGUUGUGAGUGUACCCGAAGAAAAAGCAUCGGCUAACUCCGUGCCAGCAGCCGCGGUAAUACGGAGGAUGCGAGCGUUAUCCGGAUUUAUUGGGUUUAAAGGGUGCGUAAGCGGUCCGGAAAGUCAGCGGUAAAAGCCCGGGGCUCAACCCCGGCGAGCCGUUGAAACUGUCGG